UUAGAUACCCCACUAUGCCUAGCCCUAAACUUUAACUUACACCCCACCCACACGCCAGGGAACUACGAGCGACGCUUGAAACCCAAAGGACUUGACGGUACCCCACAUCCACCUAGAGGAGCCUGUCCUAUAAUUGAUGACCCCCGCUAAACCUUACCACUCUUAGUCUAUCAGCUUGUAUACUUCCGUCUUCAGCUUACCUCGUGAGCGUAAUUCAGUGAGCUUAAUGCCUACUCCGCCAAUACGUCAGGUCAAAGUGCAGCUAAUAUAGUGGAAAGAGAUGGGCUACACUCUCUAAUCUAGAGAAUACGAAAGAUUAUGCUGAAACCAUACCAAAAGGCGGAUUUAGAAGUAAAGAGGAAAUAAAGAGUCCUUUUUAACCUGGCCCUGGGGUGUGUACACACCGCCCGUCACCCUCUUCAAAAACACCAACCAGUACAUAACACAUUUUUUAACAGAGAAGAGGUAAGUCGUAACAUGGUAAGCAUACCGGAAGGUGUGCUUGGAUACAAAAUAUAGCUUAACCAA
Molecule: ribosomal RNA, 528 nt
Filed under: Microkayla kempffi
Lineage: Eukaryota; Metazoa; Chordata; Amphibia; Anura; Craugastoridae
Description: partial 12S ribosomal RNA
Rfam family: Bacterial small subunit ribosomal RNA
Source: RNAcentral